GCAAGGAUAGUUUAAUAGAAAAAUAACCGGCUGUAUCGGUAGAUGUAGGUUCAAAUCCUGCCCCUUGCA
This 69-nucleotide transfer RNA is filed under the name Bacteroidales bacterium. RNAcentral describes it as "tRNA-Thr". It matches the Rfam family "tRNA". From Rfam's summary of the family: Transfer RNA (tRNA) molecules are approximately 80 nucleotides in length. Their secondary structure includes four short double-helical elements and three loops (D, anti-codon, and T loops). Further hydrogen bonds mediate the characteristic L-shaped molecular structure. tRNAs have two regions of fundamental functional importance: the anti-codon, which is responsible for specific mRNA codon recognition, and the 3' end, to which the tRNAs corresponding amino acid is attached (by aminoacyl-tRNA synthetases). tRNAs cope with the degeneracy of the genetic code in two manners: having more than one tRNA (with a specific anti-codon) for a particular amino acid; and 'wobble' base-pairing, i.e. permitting non-standard base-pairing at the 3rd anti-codon position. The record is from RNAcentral. Lineage: Bacteria; Pseudomonadati; Bacteroidota; Bacteroidia; Bacteroidales.